GGGCCUAUAGGUUAAUGGAUAGACCGUCGGGCUUCGGACCCGAAAAUCGAGGUUCAAUUCCUCGUAGGCCCA
RNAcentral lists this transfer RNA (72 nucleotides) under Candidatus Pacearchaeota archaeon. Its description in RNAcentral is "tRNA-Arg". It matches the Rfam family "tRNA". From Rfam's summary of the family: Transfer RNA (tRNA) molecules are approximately 80 nucleotides in length. The record is from RNAcentral. RNAcentral also lists the same sequence under 1 other name. Lineage: Archaea; Nanobdellati.